GUGCUCACUUCAGCUGCACAUACUGGAUUGGAAUAAACAGAGAAGAUUAGCAUGGCCCCUGUGCAAGGAUGACAUACCAAAUUCUUGGAGCAUUCCAUAUUGAA
RNAcentral lists this small nuclear RNA (104 nucleotides) under Microcebus murinus (gray mouse lemur). Lineage: Eukaryota; Metazoa; Chordata; Mammalia; Primates; Cheirogaleidae. The record is from RNAcentral.